Molecule: unclassified non-coding RNA, 286 nt
Filed under: Camarosporium sp.
Lineage: Eukaryota; Fungi; Ascomycota; Dothideomycetes; Pleosporales
Description: partial contains 5.8S ribosomal RNA, internal transcribed spacer 2, and large subunit ribosomal RNA
Rfam family: 5.8S ribosomal RNA (bases 1-71)
Source: RNAcentral
GUGAAUCAUCGAAUCUUUGAACGCACAUUGCGCCCCUUGGUAUUCCAUGGGGCAUGCCUGUUCGAGCGUCAUCUACACCCUCAAGCUCUGCUUGGUGUUGGGCGUCUGUCCCGCCUCUGCGCGCGGACUCGCCCCAAAUUCAUUGGCAGCGGUCUUUGCCUCCUCUCGCGCAGCACAUUGCGCUUCUCGAGGUGCGCGGCCCGCGUCCACGAAGCAACAUUACCGUCUUUGACCUCGGAUCAGGUAGGGAUACCCGCUGAACUUAAGCAUAUCAAUAAGCGGAGGA